Molecule: ribosomal RNA, 252 nt
Filed under: uncultured bacterium
Lineage: Bacteria
Description: partial 16S ribosomal RNA
Rfam family: Bacterial small subunit ribosomal RNA
Source: RNAcentral
ACGGAGGGGGCUAGCGUUGUUCGGAAUUACUGGGCGUAAAGCGCACGUAGGCGGCUUGAAAAGUUGGGGGUGAAAGCCCGGAGCUCAACUCCGGAAUUGCCUUCAAAACUCUUAAGCUAGAGUUCGGAAGAGGAGAGUGGAAUUCCCAGUGUAGAGGUGAAAUUCGUAGAUAUUGGGAAGAACACCAGUGGCGAAGGCGGCUCUCUGGUCCGAUACUGACGCUGAGGUGCGAAAGCGUGGGGAGCAAACAGG